AACGAACGCUGGCGGCAUGCUUAACACAUGCAAGUCGAACGGAUAGCUUGCUAUCAGUGGCGCACGGGUGAGUAACACGUGGGAACCUACCUUUAGUUUGGGAUAACUUUGGGAAACUAAGGCUAAUACCGGAUACGCUUUGCAGCUUGGCGCUGUAAAGGAAAGAUUUAUCGCUAAAAGAUGGGCCCGCGGUGGAUUAGCUUGUUGGUGGGGUAAAGGCUUACCAAGGCAACGAUCCAUAGCUGGUCUGAGAGGAUGAUCAGCCACACUGGGACUGAGAUACGGCCCAGACUCCUACGGGAGGCAGCAGUGGGGAAUAUUGGACAAUGGGCGAAAGCCUGAUCCAGCAAUGCCGCGUGAGUGAAGAAGGUCUUCGGAUUGUAAAGCUCUUUCACGGGUGAAGAUAAAUGACGGUAACCCGAGAAGAAGCCCGGCUAACUUCGUGCCAGCAAGCCGCGGUAAACACGAGAGUAA
Molecule: ribosomal RNA, 474 nt
Filed under: uncultured bacterium
Lineage: Bacteria
Description: bacterial SSU rRNA
Rfam family: Bacterial small subunit ribosomal RNA
Source: RNAcentral